This 425-nucleotide ribosomal RNA is filed under the name uncultured bacterium. RNAcentral's name for it is "bacterial SSU rRNA". It matches the Rfam family "Bacterial small subunit ribosomal RNA", at positions 355 to 796 of the family's 1533-position model. The record is from RNAcentral.
UGGGGAAUCUUGCGCAAUGGGCGAAAGCCUGACGCAGCAACGCCGCGUGGGGGAUGAAGGCCUUCGGGUUGUAAACCCCUUUCAGUGGGGACGAAAUUGACGGUACCCACAGAAGAAGCCCCGGCUAACUACGUGCCAGCAGCCGCGGUAACACGUAGGGGGCAAGCGUUGUCCGGAUUUAUUGGGCGUAAAGAGCUCGUAGGCGGUUCGCUAAGUCGGGUGUGAAAACUCUGGGCUCAACUCAGAGACGCCACCCGAUACUGGCGUGACUCGAGUCCGGUAGGGGAGCAUGGAAUUCCUGGUGUAGCGGUGAAAUGCGCAGAUAUCAGGAGGAACACCAGUGGCGAAGGCGGUGCUCUGGGCCGGUACUGACGCUGAGGAGCGAAAGCGUGGGUAGCAAACAGGAUUAGAUACCCCCGUAGUCC